UUACUCUCUUCUUCCGCAAACCCACGAUUCAUAACUCUUAUCCCACCCAAAUUCUCUAGGUCUCCGCCAUUAUCAUUCCCCAUUUUGCAUCUCUCUAAAAUCAUUGUUUUAGAGCCGAUACAAGUGCUCUUGGAAGCUUUGGUUUUUCUCUCCAAUAUCGGAUUCAAUGCCACACAAGAUGAUAACCAGAGGUUUAUCAGCAACUACAGUUUCAGAGAGAAGAACUAAACUACACAACGACAAAUCGAAAGAAGUCCAAAUUGAGAAAUCUUCAAAAGAAACAAAAAAUCCAGUUGCUUCAAAGAAGAAAAAACCUAUGAAUGAUUCUUCAUGUGUCAAUCUUAAGGAAGUUGAUGCAAAAAAAAAUCAGAUACACG
This is a non-coding RNA of Nicotiana tabacum (common tobacco), 377 nucleotides long. Lineage: Eukaryota; Viridiplantae; Streptophyta; Magnoliopsida; Solanales; Solanaceae. The record is from RefSeq and is a predicted model, not a curated record.